UACGGAGGGAGCUAGCGUUGUUCGGAAUUACUGGGCGUAAAGCGCACGUAGGCGGCUUUGUAAGUUAGAGGUGAAAGCCCGGGGCUCAACCCCGGAAUUGCCUUUAAGACUGCAUCGCUUGAAUCCGGGAGAGGUGAGUGGAAUUCCGAGUGUAGAGGUGAAAUUCGUAGAUAUUCGGAAGAACACCAGUGGCGAAGGCGGCUCACUGGACCGGUAUUGACGCUGAGGUGCGAAAGCGUGGGGAGCAAGCAGG
Molecule: ribosomal RNA, 253 nt
Filed under: uncultured bacterium
Lineage: Bacteria
Description: partial 16S ribosomal RNA
Rfam family: Bacterial small subunit ribosomal RNA
Source: RNAcentral